GACGAACGCUGGCGGCGUGCUUAACACAUGCAAGUCGAGCGGAAAGGCCCUUCGGGGUACUCGAGCGGCGAACGGGUGAGUAACACGUGAGUAACCUGCCCCAGACUUUGGGAUAACCCUCGGAAACGGGGGCUAAUACCGGAUACGACACAGCUUCGCAUGGGGUCUGUGUGGAAAGUUUUUCGGUUUGGGAUGGGCUCGCGGCCUAUCAGCUUGUUGGUGGGGUGAUGGCCUACCAAGGCGACGACGGGUAGCCGGCCUGAGAGGGCGACCGGCCACACUGGGACUGAGACACGGCCCAGACUCCUACGGGAGGCAGCAGUGGGGAAUAUUGCACAAUGGGCGGAAGCCUGAUGCAGCGACGCCGCGUGCGGGAUGACGGCCUUCGGGUUGUAAACCUCUUUCAGCAGGGACGAAGCGUAAGUGACGGUACCUGCAGAAGAAGCGCCGGCUAACUACGUG
Molecule: ribosomal RNA, 462 nt
Filed under: uncultured bacterium
Lineage: Bacteria
Description: partial 16S ribosomal RNA
Rfam family: Bacterial small subunit ribosomal RNA
Source: RNAcentral